Molecule: non-coding RNA, 441 nt
Organism: Meleagris gallopavo (turkey)
Lineage: Eukaryota; Metazoa; Chordata; Aves; Galliformes; Phasianidae
Source: RefSeq, a predicted model, not a curated record
AUCCGCUCCAUCAGGAGUUCAUCUUGCAAGCCCAGGACAGGAGCAUAUUGACCAGCAAAUCCCUCACUGUUGGAGAUGAAAAGUCCUGAAUACUGCGUGAUGUCAUCCCCUACAAAGUAACAGGAAAAGCGAAGGUUAAUAUAAAAAAAUACUAUUGAAAGUAUAUGAUGUGAGUCAGUUUGUUUGCUUCGAGAUGAAAUACACCUGUGGACUGAAUCCUUCAGAAACAUCUUGCUAUUUUUUAACUGCUUUGCUGCAGCUGUGACAGACUAUUAUUUUCAUGGAUAAUUUUUUGUUGUUCCUGUAUUUGUAUUACAUUAUAUAUAUUCAGGAAUAUAUGUGUGUAUAUAUACAUAUAUGCAAUAUAUUAUCUAUCUCAUAUUUAAUUUUGUUAGAUCCCUACAUUUUCUUUAUUUUUAGUUCUGGAAACAGUCACUUCUA